UGUUUGUUCAGUGUUAUCAAGAAAACAUGCAAAGAUCUUCUGCACUUUCUUGUUCUUCAAACACUAUCUCUGCUCUCUUCUCUACUCAAAAACUAAUAACACUUCCCUUUCCAAAUCCAAGAAUUGUUUUUUUGGAGAAUCCAUCAACCUUCAAGAUUUUCCAUUUUCAACAAAACAACACAACCCCUUUGCUUCACUGCACUGGUAAUUCUUGUUUCUUGUUUAAAGUUUCAAUCUUUAUUGAUUUUUUGAGUUUCCCCUAAUGGCUUCUUUGUUUUCUCUACUUUUUUUCUGGACUGGGUUUCUGUUUAUUUCAGUAGUAUCAGCAAUUACUCACUUUUGAACAUAAAAUCUAUACUGUUUCGACAAAAUUGUGAAAAAUUAUAGUAUUUAGUUAUCAAGAUGAUGUUGUACUUUGAUUUUAUGGAUUUUAUGUUCCUUUGAAUUAUUAUUAGUAUUACCCAAGGGUGUCACCUAGUGUUAAUGAAGUGGAUUGAGCAACAUGAGAGUUUCAAAUUCCCAGAAUCACGAGGUUUUAGGUUCAAAUUCCAACGUAGAUAAAAAUACUAGGUGACUUCUUUCCAUCUAGCCCAGCAUUGAUGGACAGAGUUGCCUAUUGCUUAUUGCUGGUGGGUGGUGGCAUGUAUCCUUUGAGGUGUCUGAGAGCUGGCCUCGACACCAGGGUUAUCAAAAAAGAAAAUUAUCAUUAGUAUUGUUUUCUGAUGAAGUGGUGUUCAGCCAGCUUAGCAAGAUCAUUUUGGUUUGGUUUAGGGAUUGUAUGUCAAUGAAGAAAUGGCUGUGAGACUCGGUGAAUCCAAGUUUGAGAGUACCCCUCUAAUUUGUUCUAAAAGCAAAUUAUUGAGUACUGGAAUGAAAUGUGUCCAUAUACGGGGUGAAUGGAUGUUGAGGAUUAAUAGGGUUGACCUCAAUUAGUUUGGGUUUAACACGUAGUAGUAGUUGUUGUUGGAUUCUUUGCUGAAUACAUGCUGCUUAAUGUGAAUUUUUUGGUACACAGUAUGGCAUUUGAGACUUAAAAAAUUGAACAUGUACUUCUAAGUUUAGCUUAUUUCUACAUUUCUCGUCUCCUUUUCUUUCCUUUUAGUAAGUUUGUUCUGGGUUGAAACAGUAGCAUCUUCAGAUAAUUAAAUUGAAGUUAUACGUAGUUUAAUUAGUCAUUAUUUCAUGAGCUGUUGAAUUAACUUAAUGCUAGUGACACAUUAUAAGAUUCAUGUAAGAUACAUUUGGCUGAUAUCAAUUGAUUUCUUGGGUCAGUUUUUUUUUCAGUUGGCUAUUUAUGUAUUGACUAAGGAGGUAAAGUGUCAUUAUGCGGCUUUGCCCCGGGGGACACACUUCUGGAUUCAUGUGGUGCUUAAUCUUGUAUUUGCACUUUAGCAGUUACUUUAGAAUCCAUACCAAGAUCAAAAGUGAGAGCAUCAUAACCAAAUGCAAAAAGAUGCAAAAGUACAAUAGGAGAUGUAUAUUUGUUCUUUUGGUAGGCUGAGUAUAGAUGAAUGGUAACUCAAGACACAUUCACAUUUCUAGCCUAUCCCAGACAAGGUACAAUGUCCACGAUCCAUCACAGGACACUAGGUUUAAUACUUUCUGGAAUUGAGCAAAACCUUGAAUCCUGUGUUGUUAUCUACUGUUCUAUGAAAUUUUGCUUGGCCUAUUUCUUUCGAUGAUUAACCAUCUGCAACAAUCUUUUGCAUUUUUGUGCUAUCGUGAGUAUUACAUGUUGUGAUUGUUGUAAUUCUACAUCCUUAACCUUAAGCAACGUGAGGCAAUCUUUGAAUUUGUUACAUACUCCAAUCAAAAGAUCAUUGAGUCAAGUCAAGCACAUAACAUAGAAAAGUUGUAUAUGGUGUUCAGUUUCCUGGAAGGAUAUCAGCUCAUCAUAAUAUAUGCUGUCUUCUUAGAUUUUGUUGCUCAUCAUGGUAUACCAAUUCAUGUGAAUUUUUUUUGAGCAUUGGUAAAUAACAAACCAAUUCAUGUGAAUUGGUUAGCAUUUGCAGAGUGAAGUGCUUGGACUGUCAAGCAUCUAAAUUAAGCUAGAGUAUCACAGUAGUCCUCAUUAAGGAGAACUUUUUUUUUAAUGUUUCUACAAAAUCACUCAGUUCUCAAGUUAAGCACUUUUAUGUUUGUUGUAUUUCAGCUACGGAGGAGAUCUUGGAGGCUAAUGAGACAGAGGGAUUAUUUGUUCAAACUGGGUACAUAUAUAGUGUUCAUGGGCUUCAAGGAGAGGUUCGGGUAAAAGCUACGACUGAUUUCCCUGAAUUGCGAUUUUCCAAGGUAGAAAGUGUCAGAAACCUAAUAGUGGGACCAAAUUCUCAUUUUUGGCAUGCUUGAGAACAUCCUUUUCAUGAAUUCACUCUUAAUUCAGCCAGGAAGGCGAUGGUUGAGGCAGCAAGUUUCAGGGAGAGAUAUGGUUCAAGAAAUCGAACUAAUUGAGGGAAGAGGUCAUCCAGGACAGAAGAGUUGGAUACUUAAAUUCCAUGAGAUCGACACAAUAGAGCAGGUGAUCUCAGUGUCAUUGGGUACCACGACCCACACUAUUUUAUUUUUCCUCAUAUAUUAUGAAAUGCAGUAAAUAUGUCUUUUGAUUAUCAUGGCCUUAUCUUUCCUAUGAUGAAUUUAUUCUGAGUCAUGCAUGUUACAAUCGCAUUAUCUCAGUAUGGCAAAAUGGCAGUGUUAUUUAAAAGAGUUAAAGAAUUUUAUAUGACGUUAUUAUCAACUCGAAAAUAUUUGGCUAUCUGUUGUAAAUAAAGGCAAAUUCACUUGGCCUAUUAAAUAUGGAGGCUUUAGCCCUUUACUGCAACUGUCAUGCUAGCUUUAUGUAUUUCCUGAGGCAUAUCUUUUAAAUGGACUUAACCUUUAUCCUAGGGCAUGAAAGUUUGAUAUAUCGUGUUUUCUCGAUUUUCCUCAGGCACAAAAACUUGUGGGUUCGGCCUUACUGGUGAAGGAUGAAGAUAGACCCGUCCUGGAGGAAAGUGAAUUUUACACCGCUGACCUUGUUGGGAUGAGAGUUUUUCUAAAGGUUUGCGUUCCACGGCUUCUUAGUUUCAUAAGAAGUACAGCCUACAGGUUUCUUUAGUUUAGUUUAGUUUCUAUUGGAGCUGAGUGGCACUAAAAGAAAUCUUCUAAUAUUUUUGUACUCCAGAAAACUAGAGAACUGGUAGGAACUGUUAUUAAUGUUUUUAACAGUGGAGCUAGUGAUCUCCUACAUGUUGAGCUUCUACCAGAUCGAAAUGCAAAACCACGGUUGGAAGGAGGUGCAUCUGGUCCUCUUGUAUGGGUCCCCUUCGUCGAAGCAAUUGUUCCGAAUGUUGAUUUGAGUAAAAGGGAAAUGCUGAUUACACCUCCAAAGGGUCUUUUAGAGUUAAACGUCCGUGCGGAUGACAGGUCCAAGAAAGAGAGGCGACAACUUGUGAGUUGCUUUUCUUAUUUCUGCCAUUUUGUCAGAAUUUAUCAUAUAGGUCACACACACGCUGUUGCCGAGUGCCGUCUGUGUGGUUUCAGAAGCCACAAUAUGUUUUAAAUGAAAUUCUGUUUAUCUUUUCUAGAGAAGUGACUUUGUGACACCGUGUGAGUUGCUUUUUUUCUUCUUUUUCAGAAUCAGAGUAUUGUCUCAAUUAUUUUAGAAAUCACAUUGUCAUUUUCAAAGAAUUAUAGUCAGUUUUUCUUAAGUACUCUGAUGGUUUUUUCCAUAUCCAUUGUUGGUUGCAAUGUAGUGCAGUUACUAUUACUAAUAGAUUUCAUAAUUUUCUUAUGAUGAUGAAGUAAUUCUUCAUGUCUGAGUUCAUACUUAACUGCUCCAGAUGAGUGCUGGUAAUUAAGUAAUGCCUCUAAAGUUGCUUUUCUCUCCAGUGCUUCUCUAUGAUUGUCAUAGGUACUUCUUCUAUAGCAUUGAAGAUCUAGCAUGUUUGGCCUACUCAUUUUCUGCUUUUUAGGAAUGGAAAGAGAGAAAAAAGUUUCAGAAACGCCUUAUAGCAGCCAAGAAAAUACUGCAUGAAAUGGAACAAGAUCAUAUAUUUCACGGUUUCAGAUAUGGAGAGAAAAACCAAAGGAGCUUCCUUGCAAAUCAGAUUGUUGAUGUAAACUCCGUGUUGCUUAAGCAUGCAUUGCAGAGCAAAAAGAUUCCAUAUAAGAGGUGCAGCUAUAAGUUUAUUUCCUGUCUUUUGUCAUUAUAUACCUUUUUUUAAUCUGCCAAGUGUAUGUCAUACAUGCUUUAAGUAGGCUAACCGUUAGUUUACAUGACAUCACAAAUUCUAAAUUUUAAGUGUAGAAGGCAUUGGAAAAAUUUAGUAUUUAGUUUACAUGACAUCACAAAUUCUAAAUUUUAAGUGUAGAAGGCAUUGGAAAAAAUUAGUAUUCUUUUUGUGACCCUACCUUUUUCACAGUUUGUGAUAACCGGCAUAAAACUUGCAAUGAAUGUUUCGUUAUUUAGUUUGAUAGAUCUUUUCAGAAAUGUAAUUAGCAGUGUUUUAUAGUUUUACAAGUCAUGUUACAGACUAUAUCCGGCAAAGAAGAAUAGGUGAUAAUUGAUGGCGGAUGCAACUUGAUCAUCUUAGAGGGCGUUGUCAUUGAAAGUUACAGCAUGUUUAUGCUGAUGCCACAGAGUACUGUGUCCACAUAUUACUUGACUUUAAUGGUUUUCUAGUCAAUUCGUCGGGUGCAGGCAUUGUAUUACUUCUCUUUUGUUACCGCUAGAGUAACUAAGAGAUACUUGUUUUGAAAUUGUCUAAAAAAUAAAAUAAGACAAAUAAAUUGAAAUACAAUGUACUCCCUGCGUUUCAUAAUAAAUGAAUUGUUGAAUUUUGACACACAUAUUAAGGGAAAAAUAUUAAAGAUAUAAAUUUAACAUUACUUUUCAUUUUUACCCCCAAAAUAAGAAAAAAUUAACCUUGUAAUAUCUUUUCAAAAGUUAACUAGUUGGCAAAUCAUAAGUCCAAAUUUGAAAAAAAUUCAAUAAUUCACUUAUUUUGAAACAUCAAUAAAUACUUCAACAAUUCACUUAUCAGAGUAAUAUAUAAUAGUUAUUUAAAAAAGGACCUGCCAUUUUCCUGUUUUAUCAAUUAUAUAUAAUUAAUAAUAAUAAUAAUUAAAAAAAAUCAUUAACAACAUGUACCCUGUGCAUAAAAUGUUGUACUAAAGAUUAUACUCCUAUCUUGCUACAUCAUCUUUUUUCCCCUCUGCUUCUUUUCAUAUUUGUAACACUGUUUUCUUUGUUUGUUCAGUGUUAUCAAGAAAACAUGCAAAGAUCUUCUGCACUUUCUUGUUCUUCAAACACUAUCUCUGCUCUCUUCUCUACUCAAAAACUAAUAACACUUCCCUUUCCAAAUCCAAGAAUUGUUUUUUUGGAGAAUCCAUCAACCUUCAAGAUUUUCCAUUUUCAACAAAACAACACAACCCCUUUGCUUCACUGCACUGGUAAUUCUUGUUUCUUGUUUAAAGUUUCAAUCUUUAUUGAUUUUUUGAGUUUCCCCUAAUGGCUUCUUUGUUUUCUC
Molecule: long non-coding RNA, 5504 nt
Filed under: Capsicum annuum
Lineage: Eukaryota; Viridiplantae; Streptophyta; Magnoliopsida; Solanales; Solanaceae
Description: long non-coding RNA (CANN_LNC003341)
Source: RNAcentral